GAUGAAGAACGUAGCGAAAUGCGAUACUUGGUGUGAAUUGCAGAAUCCCGUGAACCGUCGAGUCUUUGAACGCAAGUUGCGCCCGAAGCCAUUAGGCCGAGGGCACGCCUGCCUGGGCGUCACACGUCGUUGCCCCCCCAUCUACUCCUUCGGGAUUGCGGGGGGCGGAUGAUGGCCUCCCGUGCGCCUCGUCGCGCGGUUGGCAUAAAUGCCAAGUCCUCGGCGACGCACGCCACGACAAUCGGUGGUUGCGAAACCUCGGUUGCCCGUCGUGUGCGGUCGUCGCGCAUCGAGGGCUCGAAAAAAUUGCCGGGCUCCGGCUCGGCUUUCAACGCGACCCCAGGUCAGGCGGGGUUACCCGCUGAAUUUAAGCAUAUCAAUAAGCGGAGGA
Molecule: unclassified non-coding RNA, 391 nt
Filed under: soil metagenome
Description: partial contains 5.8S ribosomal RNA, internal transcribed spacer 2, and large subunit ribosomal RNA
Rfam family: 5.8S ribosomal RNA (bases 1-122)
Source: RNAcentral